CCUACGGGAGGCAGCAGUGAGGAAUAUUGGUCAAUGGCCGGAAGGCUGAACCAGCCAUGCCGCGUGAAGGUCAGUGCCCUAUGGGCUUUAAACUUCUUUUGUGCGGGAGCAAUAAUGGUCACGUGUGGCCAGACGAGAGUACCGUACGAAUAAGCAUCGGCGAACUCCGUGCCAGCAGCCGCGGUAAUACGGGGGAUGCAAGCGUUAGCCGGAUUUAUUGGGUUUAAAGGGUGCGUAGGGUGUGAGGUAAGUCAGCGGUGAAAUUCCCCCGCUCAACGGGGUGAAGUGCCAUUGAUACUGCCUUGCUGGAAUGCGGAUGCAGUGGGAGGAAUGUGUGGUGUAGCGGUGAAAUGCAUAGAUAUCACACAGAACACCGAUUGCGAAGGCAUCUCACGAAUCCGCGAUUGACGCUGAUGCACGAAAGCGUGGGUAUCAAACAGGAUUAGAUACCCCUGUAGUC
This 460-nucleotide ribosomal RNA is filed under the name uncultured bacterium. RNAcentral's name for it is "partial 16S ribosomal RNA". It matches the Rfam family "Bacterial small subunit ribosomal RNA", at positions 338 to 795 of the family's 1533-position model. The record is from RNAcentral.